AGUAAAGUCAGCUAACUAAGCU
Molecule: transfer RNA, 22 nt
Filed under: Paracontias vermisaurus
Lineage: Eukaryota; Metazoa; Chordata; Lepidosauria; Squamata; Scincidae
Description: partial tRNA-Met
Source: RNAcentral